Molecule: ribosomal RNA, 899 nt
Filed under: Cystoderma amianthinum
Lineage: Eukaryota; Fungi; Basidiomycota; Agaricomycetes; Agaricales; Squamanitaceae
Description: partial large subunit ribosomal RNA
Rfam family: Eukaryotic large subunit ribosomal RNA
Source: RNAcentral
GAAAAGAAACUAACAAGGAUUCCCCUAGUAACUGCGAGUGAAGCGGGAAAAGCUCAAAUUUAAAAUCUGAUAGUCUUAGGCUGUCCGAGUUGUAAUCUAGAGAAGUGUUAUCCGCGCUGGACCGUGUACAAGUCUCCUGGAAUGGAGCGUCAUAGAGGGUGAGAAUCCCGUCUUUGACACGGACUACCAGGGCUUUGUGAUGCGCUCUCAAAGAGUCGAGUUGUUUGGGAAUGCAGCUCAAAAUGGGUGGUAAAUUCCAUCUAAAGCUAAAUAUUGGCGAGAGACCGAUAGCGAACAAGUACCGUGAGGGAAAGAUGAAAAGAACUUUGGAAAGAGAGUUAAACAGUACGUGAAAUUGCUGAAAGGGAAACGCUUGAAGUCAGUCGCGUUGACCAGGGAUCAACCUUGCUCUUGCUGGGUGUACUUUCUGGUUAACGGGUCAACAUCAAUUUUGAUUGUUGGAAAAAGAUCAAGGGAAUGUAGCAUCUUCGGAUGUGUUAUAGCCUUUGGUUGUAUACAACAAUUGGGAUUGAGGAACUCAGCACGCCGAAAGGCCGGGUUUUUAACCACGUUCGUGCUUAGGAUGUUGGCAUAAUGGCUUUAAUCGACCCGUCUUGAAACACGGACCAAGGAGUCUAACAUGCCUGCGAGUGUUUGGGUGGAAAACCCGAGCGCGUAAUGAAAGUGAAAGUUGAGAUCCCUGUCGCGGGGAGCAUCGACGCCCGGACCAGAAAUUUAUGGACGGUUCCGCGGUAGAGCAUGUAUGUUGGGACCCGAAAGAUGGUGAACUAUGCCUGAAUAGGGUGAAGCCAGAGGAAACUCUGGUGGAGGCUCGUAGCGAUUCUGACGUGCAAAUCGAUCGUCAAAUUUGGGUAUAGGGGCGAAAGACUAAUCGAACC